Molecule: ribosomal RNA, 459 nt
Filed under: uncultured bacterium
Lineage: Bacteria
Description: partial 16S ribosomal RNA
Rfam family: Bacterial small subunit ribosomal RNA
Source: RNAcentral
CCUACGGGAGGCAGCAGUGAGGAAUAUUUGUCAAUGGGCGCGAGCCUGAACCAGCCAAGUCGCGUGAGGGAAGACGGUCCUAUGGAUUGUAAACCUCUUUUGUCAGGGAGCAAAGGGCGCCACGUGUGGCGUUUUUUGAGUACCUGAAGAAAAAGCAUCGGCUAACUCCGUGCCAGCAGCCGCGGUACUCCUGGGGAUGCGAGCGUUAUCCUGAUUUAUUGGGUUUAAAGGGUGCGCAGGCGGAAUGUCAAGUCAGCGGUAAAAUUUCGGGGCUCAAACCCGUCGUGCCGUUGAAACUGGCGUUCUUGAGUGAGCGAGAAGUAUGCGGAAUGCGUGGUGUAGCGGUGAAAUGCAUAGAGAGCACGCAGAACUCCGAUUGCGAAGGCAGCAUACCGGCGCUCAACUGACGCUCAUGCACGAAAGCGUGGGUAUCGAACAGGAUUAGAUACCCUUGUAGUC